RNAcentral lists this long non-coding RNA (8585 nucleotides) under Salvia miltiorrhiza (redroot sage). RNAcentral's name for it is "long non-coding RNA (SMIL_LNC006269)". Lineage: Eukaryota; Viridiplantae; Streptophyta; Magnoliopsida; Lamiales; Lamiaceae. The record is from RNAcentral.
GCGAGAUGUCAGUAAGGGUUUGUGCACAUAGUUGUGACCGUGAGUCAUCGAGCGGGUUGGCCGGUCACUGUGAUCGGGAGCCUUCGGGCCGAUCACUGUGUUUGAGAAGGAGGCCUACUUCUCAACACAAGGUUACAUGAUGCGUAGUUAUGGUACAUACAUGUUAAUUGUGCAGACGUAUAUGAUAUUAUGAUGAUAUAUAUAUAGAAGUUUUACAGUUUUGGCGUGCACAGGUUAUUUAAAUAAAACUCCUGUGUGAUGCUUGAGAUGGCAAGUUCAAUAUAUAGCUCUAAGAGCAAACUUUAAAGUUAUUUCGGCAUGUGACCAUUGAGUACCUUUUUAGUACUCAGCCCUGCAUAUGUUUCUAAAUGUGCAGGUUAAGCUGUGAUGCAGAUGGAGGCGAGCAGAGCAAAGCUUUUGAAGUAUAAGUAUUAAAUUAGGCUCAGGAUUCCAUGUCUUCAUACAUGUAAUCCACUUAAGUAUUUCCGCUGCAACACUUAGUGUAUUUUACUUUAUUGAUGUGUUGUAUAGAUUUUAAAUCAAUAGCUUUGAGAAUUAUGUCACUGGAAAAUUUGACAACUUGUCGUUGUGUUAUUGUGAGUUGUCUGCCUAAGCAGUUUAGAAAAGAUUGCUCAUGAGUUUUAAAAGUGAUUUGCUCAUGAUUAUUCAAUACUAAAGUAAUUCAUCGUUAAAGAGGGUUCAUUAUUAUUAUUUAAAUCUCUUUCCUUUUUCAUUUUCUUUCUCCUUUUUCCCAGUCACACCUUUCCCCGGCUUAACUAUACACUAUAUUAGGCCGGGCUGUGACAAAGUGGUAUCAGAGCAGGUCGUUUGCUCUGAGCCUAAAUAUUCCUUUGAGUCUAGUCUAAAUUUGAAUCUUUGGACUAGUGUGAGUAAUAUAGUAAAAGCUCUGCUCUCCAUCUCAUCCAACUUAGCCAGGUACGGAUUUUCAGAGUUUUGAAGUAGCAUGUUACAUUUUUAAACAAGUUUUAGAUAUGAGUUGCAGUUUUGCAAGUAUUAGUAUGAUGGAAACUUAUAUAUUUUAAAAUGAGCAUGGACAACAUGAGUUAUUUAUGAGUAUCCUCUGCCUAUACGAACUUUUGAGAUUUGAAUGGAUAAAAGUGUUAUUCAUAUUUUAAUAUUUGUGUUUUGAUAUGUGGAUGGAGAUAUAGAAAGUUUGAUGAUACAAUAAUGACGUAUAUCAGUCGCGAUGUAACCUAGUACUAGUAGUGAUGUUAUACUAGUUACGGCACCACAAUUAAUACUAAGAGCUUUUUGCAACAUAUAUUCCUAUCUUUCGUAUGAGAACUCAUUGAGGCAAAUUUUCUCAUGAUAUGAAGUGAUCAAAGUGGUCAUNUGAGAAGGAGGCCUACUUCUCAACACUCAGAGUUAUUAUGAUGCGUAGAUAUGGUACAUACAUGUUAAUUGUCAGCAGACGUAUAUGAUGUUAUGAUGAUUAUAGAGAAGUUUUUAUAGUUUUGCAUGCACAGGUUAUUUAAAUAAAACCCAUGUGUGAUGCUUGAGAUGGCAAGUUCAAUAUAUAGCUCUAAGAGCAAGUUUAAAGUUAUUUCGGCAUGUAACCACUGAGUGCUAUUUGAUACUCAGCCCUGCGUAUGUUUCUAAAUAUGCAGGUUAAGCUGUGAUGUAGAUGGAAGCAAGCAGAGCAAAGCCUUCAGAGUAUAUUAAAUUAGGCUCAGGAUUCCAUGUCUUCAUACAUGUAAUCCACAUGAAUUAUCCGCUGCAACACUCAGUCUAUUCUACUUUGUUGAUGUGUUGUAACAAUAUUUUUAAAUCAAUAGCUUUGAGUAAUUAUAAUCACUUGAAAGUUAGACAACUUGUCGUUGUGUAUUGUAAGUUGUCUACUCAUGAGUUUUAAAAGUGAUUGCUUAUGAUUAUCCAAUAUUAAAGUAAUUCAUCGUUAAAGAGGGUUCAUUAUUAUUAUUUAAAUCUCUUUUAUUUUUCAUUUUCUUUUUCCCUUCCCCAGUCACACAUUUUCCCUGACUUAACUGUUGUUAGUUUAGGUCGGGCUGUGACAAAGUGGUAUCAGAGCAGGUUGUUUGCUCUGAGCCUAAACAUUCCCUUGAGUCUAGUCUAAAUUUGAAUCUUUAGACUAAAAUGAGUAAUAUAGUAAAAGCUCUGCGCUCCAUCUCAUCCAGCAUAGCCAGGUACUGAUUUUCAGAGUUUUAAAGAAUCAAUUUACAGUUUGAAAGAGUUUGAGUUGUUAAUAUUGCAACUUUGCAAGAAAGUUAUUAAUAUUGCAAUUUUGCAAGAAUCUAGUAUUUGGAGAAGUUUACAUGUUUACAAGUGAGUGAAUAUGAAUAACAUGAGUUAUUUAUGAGUAUCCUCUGCCUAUACGAACUUUUGAGAUUUGAAUGAAUAAAAGUGUUAUUCAUAUAUUAAUAUUUAUAUUUUGAUAUGUGGAUGGAGAUAUAUAUAGACAGAUUGAUGAUACAAUAAUGAUGUAUAUCAGUCGCGAUGUAACCUAGUACUAGUAGUGAUGUUAUACAGUUAGGGCACCACAAUCAGUACUAAGAGCUUUUUGCAACAUAUAUUCCUAUCUUUCGUAUGAGAACUCAUUGAGGCAAAUUUUCUCAUGAUAUGAAGUGAUCAGAGUGGUCAUUUACUAGGUUAUUAUUGAGCUUUACUUGCUUAGAUGAUUGAAUUUUUGUGUAUGAGUUUUAUAACUUAGUUGGAUUAUAGUUAAGUAGGAGUUUGACUUUACUGAUGGGAUGAAAGCUCAAUUUUGGAGAUUUUGUGUAUUUACUCGGCAUGAUGUCUCAAAGAAGCAGUGGAAAUCUGCCAUCCGCCAUGUGAAUAAUUUAGAGAACUACUCGUCCCCAUCAACUUGAAAGAAGAAUAGCAGAAGUUUUUCAUCGUCAAGAUCCCUUUAUUGCGAGUUAAGCGGUAGAGUUUCAAAGAGGCAGUAGAGUUUUACGAGUUUCGCUUCCUUAGAUGCAAUGAUCAAGAGCGCCUUCUUGUAUGUUAUUUCAACUACAAGGAUCGACUUAUNAGUAGUGGGAGACGAAGCAGAAGAUAUAUACCCUCGAGCGAUUAGAGAAUCUUAUUUGGGGCCAGUUCACAGAAGUUUUUAUGAAGAAUAUGUUUCCAGAAGCCGUCGUCAGCAAAAAGGAGACGUAAUUUAACAAUUUAAAGCAAUAGAAGAAGACAGUAGCUGAAUGUGAUCAAGGGUUUUGUGAUAUAGCUGGAUAUAUGCCUUAUAAGGCUGACACAUAUAUUAGUUGUAACUUUUGAUAGAGUUUUGAUGUAGUGCCUUUGCUUGUUGGCAAACCAAAUAUUCUUUCAGCUAUUGCAAGCCAAACAUUCCUUCAACUAAUGAAGAUAUCUCUUUUCCAUUUCAUCCCUCCCACCAAAAGUUUUGUUUGAAAUCUUGAUAUAAUUUAGUGCUUCUGUGGUGGGCAGUAUAUAGCGUAUCAUGAGCUUUACUCGUGAUUUUAUUUCUCAACUGUUCAGUAUUGGGUACACAACUUUUCUCAAACAUGAUAGCAGUACCCCUAGCUUUUUGGCAAGUAUUGACCCCUUCUAUCAAAAUCCUUACCCAUAAUUUUUCUCCUUUUUAUUUUCCCCAUGUACUUUAACAAUUCUUCUUCUCAAAUCAAAAAUCAUUGUUAACAUUGCAAUUACAGCUUCUCUUGUUUGCUGUGGUAGAACCAUUUGUAAAUCCAACUUUCAAAUCCUUGAUGAGAAUUUUUCUUCAUGGGUAAGGAGAAAUCCUUAGUAAACUUGAGUUUUUCUACUCAAGGCAUCCACUAUUAUAUUGGCUUUGCGUGGGUGAUAAUUUAUUCUACAAUCAUAGUCCCUUACUAAUUCGAGCUAUAUUCCUUGUCUCACACUUAGAUCUUUUGCUCGAAUAAGUAUUUUAAACUUUUAUGAGGUGUAUCAAUUCCACAUCUCGUUUCAGAAUACCAUUGUUGCUAGUUCCAAGUUAUGUUGAGCAAUUCAGUUCUUGUGGUCUAUGUUCUCAUGACCCAAUAACAAUAACUCUUUCACUUUGCAACAAUGCACAACCAAGUCCAUCUUUGAUACACAGGACCAAUUUUAUAUGGUCUUUCAACUUUGAGAAUUCGGCCAUAUUUUAAAAUAGCCUUUCAUCCAACAACAGAUGAGCAAUUUGAGAGAAAUCUUUAAACCUUAGAAGAUGUGACAUAGACUAUUGUACUAGAGCGAAGAAGUGGCGACCUUAGCAGUAGGGACACUGGCGAUCGUAAGAAAUUCUGGGUUCCAAAACUCUCUUUCCAAAAAUGAUUUUUCAGAAGGAGCGAAUUCCCCGCAAACAAGGCAGGAGACGACUAUCUCAAGGUGCAUCACGCGUACUCAGAAGCCGCAUUAUGCACUAGAUUGAAGGAUGAAUUGGGAAAACCUUUUGCUAGUAAUUGAAUUGGCCUACAAUUAUAGCUUUCGGGCAAUAAUUGAUAUGACACCAUAUGGAGCUUAUUGUGGAAAGAAAUAUUGAUCUCCACUCUAUUGACAUGAGGUAAGUGAAAGAAAAGUAACAGGACCUGAUGCGCUUGAAGAAAUGAUUACGCUUAUCCGACAAAUUCAACAACUGCUCAACGAACCUCAAGAGCGACAGAAAUUUUUUUUUGUAGAUACUCGUUGAUUUGAUUUGAAAUUUUUGAAAUAGGGGAUGAAGUUUUUCUCAGUGUUCCGCAUUCUAAGAAUGCACAAAUUCGAUGUGAAAGAGAAGUAUCUAGCAUUAUUCUCUGACGUAGUCAAAUUUCGAGGACGAAAUUUCUUUAAGGGGGAGAGGAUGUAACACCCAGCAUUUUCACUACAGUAUAUAUAUUAUUUUCUAUUAUCUAAAAGAAGAAAGAGAAGUAGAAUCACUGAGAUGAGAUGAGAUAUUAUUAUAAUACCUUGAGCUUUUAAUUCAAUGAUUGCAUAAUUUGAAUAAUUAAGUAUUCUUGCUUUCUUUAUUAUUUUCAUUCUUGGAAGCAAGUUUAUAAUUCCUAGUUAAAGGGAUUAUUUUAUUAUUUUUCAGAGAUGAGAUUGGUGAUAAAUACGAAAUAUUAUUAGUCGACUUAUUGCUCGGCUAAUUGAAGUGACGGAUGUUAUUUAAUUAUUUAUCUAUGAGCUUUCUUUUUUUUUAAUAGUGAUAGUUUGAGGAAAUUUAGUAUAUCGUGGACGGAGGGAGUAUUAUAUUUCAUUGGGUGUAUAAUAAUUUAUUAAUUUAGAUAGCUAUCAAAUACUACUUGAGCUUGGAGCACAAGUUUCGUGAGUCAUAUUAGUGUAGAGAAUUGCUUUUCUAAUUUAUUCUUAUUUUUAUUUGAUCUAAUUUGAGGGCCACAAAAUAAGGCUUAUAGGAAAAGCCAAGUUUUACCUCUUAUUAUUUAUUUCUUCUACAAACCUCAAAUGGGCCGAUCAAGUAAGGGAAAUGAGGUUUGAAUUAUAUUGCUCAUUUCUAUAAUUGGAUUUAAAUUUUUAAUGUUUGAGAUAAGCAUUUAUUUAUUGUAAAGUGUAUAUAUUAGUUUGAGGAGAUUCAUUUCCUUUUCUUCUCCCCAAAACAGUCGACCUUCUCCCCUCUCUCUUUAUGGAACCUCAGUUUAGUUUGCUUUCAACCUUCAAGAAGAUUCAGCCGCCACCUCUGCUCCGACCGCCGUCGGCUGCCGUCGAGUCCAAGUCCGACGUCUCGUCUGUUCUUCCCUGGUGCCCCUCGCACUACUCUCAUCUUCUCUCAAUUUAGCGAAGAACCCAAAUGAGAAGCCCUAAUUUCAAAAUCCGAAAUCGCCGUCACCCGAGCCCGAAAUUCGGCAAUACAGCAUCCUCCUCUUCGACGUGGUCGAAGUUCUCGCACCGGAAGUCCUCGCCGUUCCCCCUUCUUUUCCGGUGUGGAGCCCUAAUUCUUAGUAGAAGGAAAUUACUACUGUCGCGACUGGAAGGCCAACGAACGGCUGAGCUUCGCCCAUCUCUGCCUUGAAUCCAUGCUCGAGAAGGAGAGAAAGGAAAACGAGCCCUAAUUCUUUUCUACUCCCGCCGUCAUGGUUCGGCUGCCACCUCCGCCGUCUGUGGAAGACCGGCGAUUCAGCGGCGCCGCUCCAUUCACAACGCCGCUACUGCUGCUACACGAUCCCCUCCGAGGCAGCAAGCGCUGCUGUCAUCAUCGUCGUCUUGGCUCGACUGAACAGGGUCGCGUCCCUCGUCGUCGAAAAGUUAGUAUUCUACUUGUUAUUGUAGAAAGUGUUUGAUGUUGCUUGUGAUUUCUGAGUUCAUGCCAUAAUAAUCGAGGCAUAGGUGACUUCUCUCUAAGAUUCCUAAAGUGAGAUAUUAAACAAAAUGUUAUAUGUUUCUAAGUUAGUAAUUACUUUAAAUUAAGUAAAAUGAUGGCAGGAAUCAUAGCUUCAGCCCAAAGCUUCGAUUUUUGACCCUCCCUCAAGAACCCCAGAAUUUCAUCUUCUUUAUAUUUGUAUCAAUUGACUAUGUAUACAUGUCUAUAUGUAUGUGAAGAAUUGAUUGGGAUUUAUUUGGGUAUUUAUUCACAAGAAAACAUGAUUCCCUAAUAGUUUAGUUUAAGUGGAUUUGGGAGUUCUUGGAAUAAGCUAGCUACAUGUUUGAUGCUUGUGUAAUUGUACUCCUUGAAUUGUAAAAUGAGAUUAUAUGACAAUAGUUGGAGGAUAUCAAGCAUGCUACUAUAUGUUGAUGUGUUGAACAUGAAUUACGUUUAAGCUAAAGCAUGCUAAUGUGUAGUAAGAUGAUGUAUUUGAGUUACUAUAGCUUUUAUUUGAUAAAAAUAUGAGUUAUAUGUUGAGUUGAGAUGAAGAAGGUAUUGCUGUUGGUUUUGCUGUACAGGACAGUACCUUGUAAGGUAUUUUCGGGAGUGUUCCUGUGAUCCAAAUAACUUGAAUUUUACUGUAUAACUUCAUCAUGAGUAGUAGAUCUCUGCAAAUUUCAGCUAAAUCCGAGACCAAUAGACAUGUCAAACUAUUUUCUGAAAUGUACUGCGUGAAGCAGCGUAGUUCAGUGGCAGAUUCUACCUUUGGUGAUAUAACUUCUUAUACACUUGAGAUAUUGUAUUUUUGUAAAUUUCUAAGAAAUAUAGACGUUAAUAGCUUUCUAAAAAGGUAAAGCUCGUAUUUUUCCUUGAAGCGAUUGAUUUUAUAUGAUUUUCCAAAGUUAGGAUUCAAAUGUGUAUGUGUCUUGAUUAAACUUGUGAUUGGUAGUUAAUUGAGAUCCUACACUACUAAACUUGAAUUGAGGUUUUAUUGUUCUAACUACCUAUUGAGGAUUAUUGAUUACUAAAGCUUGUUAAUAUGAUAGUUGAUGGACAUAAUUAUGUUUAUAUGAUUAAUUACUUUGGGAUUUUGUGUUUUACAUGUAUGGUUAGUUGUAAACUGAUCUCUAUGGAAUGGAUUUGUUUACUUCUAAACUUUCUCAAGUAGAGGAAUUCCUAUAAGAUAGGAAUAUUAGUUUAUACUUUCUUAAAGUUCAUAAGAGUUAGUAUAUUGGUUAGUUUAGUUGAUUCAACCCUAGCUCUGCAGAAGAUUAAAAGUUUAUUGGGAUGUUAUUUAUAGCUAAUUCUUCUUAUCUAGUUAUCCAAUCUUAUUUUAGAAUCUUGCUAUUAUGAAGGUGACAGUAGCAAUGAUAGAUAAGUGAGCAAGAGUUUCUACAUCGUUAAGCGUAUCAGGUGGGCUUUCUAAACUCAUAAUUUGAAGUGCGCACUAUUUAAUUAUGUUAUUAUAUGAAUGAAGUUAUAUUAAAGUUAUUGACUUGCCAAAACUUUUAUGAGCUUGUAUGUUACCAUCUACGAGAGAUAGACGAUAUCGGCCCUAUGCUGAAGCGAGAUGUCAGUAAGGGUUUGUGCACAUAGUUGUGACCGUGAGUCAUCGAGCGGGUUGGCCGGUCACUGUGAUCGGGAGCCUUCGGGCCGAUCACUGUGUUUGAGAAGGAGGCCUACUUCUCAACACAAGGUUACAUGAUGCGUAGUUAUGGUACAUACAUGUUAAUUGUCUGCAGACGUAUAUGAUAUUAUGAUGAUAUAUAUAUAGAAGUUUUACAGUUUUGGCGUGCACAGGUUAUUUAAAUAAAACUCCUGUGUGAUGCUUGAGAUGGCAAGUUCAAUAUAUAGCUCUAAGAGCAAACUUUAAAGUUAUUUCGGCAUGUGACCAUUGAGUACCUUUUUAGUACUCAGCCCUGCAUAUGUUUCUAAAUGUGCAGGUUAAGCUGUGAUGCAGAUGGAGGCGAGCAGAGCAAAGCUUUUGAAGUAUAAGUAUUAAAUUAGGCUCAGGAUUUCAUGUCUUCAUACAUGUAAUCCACUUAAGUUAUUCCGCUGCAACACUUAGUGUAUUUUACUUUAUUGAUGUGUUGUACAGAUUUUAAACCAAUAGCUUCGAAAAUUAUGUCACUUGAAAAUUUGACAACUUGUCGUUAUGUAUUGUGAGUUGUCUGCUUUGAGUUUUAGAAAAGAUUGUUUAUGAUUACCAAAUAUUUAGGUAAAUUAUUGUUUAAGCAAGAUGAUUAUUUUUAUUGAAACCUCUUUUAUUUUCCAUUUUCUUUUUCCAUUUCCCCAGUCACAUUUUCCCCGGCUUAACUGUUGUUAGCUUAGGUCGGGCUGUGACAGAGUGGUAUCAGAGCAG